GGAAGGAUCAUUACCGUACUAUGGAGGUGCCAGGGCUGUCGCUGACUCUUAAAGUCGUGCACGCCCGAGCACUCUCACAUACAAUCCAUCUCACCCCUUGUGCACCACCGCGUGGGCCCCUUUCGGCUCGUUCCGAAGGGUGCUCGCGUUUAAACAAAAACUUUAAUGCGGUGUAGAAUGUCAUGCGAUAACACGCAAUCAAUAUAACUUUCAACAACGGAUCUCUUGGCUCUCGCAUCGAUGAAGAACGCAGCGAAAUGCGAUACGUAAUGUGAAUUGCAGAAUUCAGUGAAUCAUCGAAUCUUUGAACGCACCUUGCGCCCCUUGGUAUUCCGAGGGGCACACCCGUUUGAGUGUCGUGACAUCCUCAACCUUUCUCGGUUUCUCGAUCGGGGAAGGCUUGGAAUUUGGAGGUUUUUGCUGGCCUCUCUUGAAGCCAGCUCCUCCCAAAUGAAUUAGUGGGGUCCACUUUGCCUGAAUCCUCGACGUGAUAAGAUGCUUCUACGUCUUGGGUUUUGCUCGGGAACCCGCUUCUAACCGUCUCGUCAGAGAACUCUGUUCGGGCCACCACCUUUUAUGGGUGGGAAGCUCGAGCGCACGAAAACCUUGACCUCAAAUCGGGUGAGACUACCCGCUGAACUUAAGCAUAUCAAUAAGCGGAGGAAAAGAAACUAACAAGGAUUCCCCUAGUAACUGCGAGUGAAGCGGGAAAAGCUCAAAUUUAAAAUCUGGUGGUCUUUGGCCAUCCGAGUUGUAAUUUAGAGAAGCG
RNAcentral lists this ribosomal RNA (769 nucleotides) under uncultured fungus. RNAcentral's name for it is "eukaryotic LSU rRNA". The stretch from base 206 to 359 matches the Rfam family "5.8S ribosomal RNA". The record is from RNAcentral. Lineage: Eukaryota; Fungi.